GGUAUGAUUCAUGACUGGGGUGAAGUCGUAACAAGGUAACCGUAGGGGAACCUGCGGUUGGAUCACCUCCUUACAGAA
RNAcentral lists this ribosomal RNA (78 nucleotides) under Haemophilus influenzae. RNAcentral's name for it is "partial 16S ribosomal RNA". It matches the Rfam family "Bacterial small subunit ribosomal RNA", at positions 1461 to 1533 of the family's 1533-position model. Lineage: Bacteria; Pseudomonadati; Pseudomonadota; Gammaproteobacteria; Pasteurellales; Pasteurellaceae. The record is from RNAcentral.